This 966-nucleotide ribosomal RNA is filed under the name uncultured bacterium. Its description in RNAcentral is "bacterial SSU rRNA". It matches the Rfam family "Bacterial small subunit ribosomal RNA", at positions 32 to 995 of the family's 1533-position model. The record is from RNAcentral.
GGGCCAGUGGCGGCUGCCCUUACAAUGCAAGUCGAACGGCAGCGCGGGGCAACCUGGCGGCGAGUGGCGAACGGGUGAGUAAUAUAUCGGAACGUGCCCUGGAGUGGGGGAUAACGCAGCGAAAGUUGCGCUAAUACCGCAUACGAUCUAAGGAUGAAAGCAGGGGACCGCAAGGCCUUGUGCUCCUGGAGCGGCCGAUAUCUGAUUAGCUAGUUGGUGGGGUAAAGGCCUACCAAGGCAUCGAUCAGUAGCUGGUCUGAGAGGACGACCAGCCACACUGGAACUGAGACACGGUCCAGACUCCUACGGGAGGCAGCAGUGGGGAAUUUUGGACAAUGGGCGCAAGCCUGAUCCAGCAAUGCCGCGUGAGUGAAGAAGGCCUUCGGGUUGUAAAGCUCUUUUGUCAGGGAAGAAACGGUGAGUUCUAAUACAGUUCACUAAUGACGGUACCUGAAGAAUAAGCACCGGCUAACUACGUGCCAGCAGCCGCGGUAAUACGUAGGGUGCAAGCGUUAAUCGGAAUUACUGGGCGUAAAGCGUGCGCAGGCGGUUUUGUAAGUUUGUCGUGAAAUCCCCGGGCUCAACCUGGGAAUGGCGAUGAAGACUGCAAGGCUAGAAUCUGGCAGAGGGGGGUAGGAUUCCACGUGUAGCAGUGAAAUGCGUAGAGAUGUGGAGGAACACCGAUGGCGAAGGCAGCCCCCUGGGUCAAGAUUGACGCUCAUGCACGAAAGCGUGGGGAGCAAACAGGAUUAGAUACCCUGGUAGUCCACGCCCUAAACGAUGUCUACUAGUUGUCGGGUUUUAAUUAACUUGGUAACGCAGCUAACGCGUGAAGUAGACCGCCUGGGGAGUACGGUCGCAAGAUUAAAACUCAAAGGAAUUGACGGGGACCCGCACAAGCGGUGGAUGAUGUGGAUUAAUUCGAUGCAACGCGAAAAACCUUACCUACCCUUGACAUGGUCGGAA